UUGGAUGUAGACUGUUAUCAAGUGCCAGCCUUUUCUUUUCCAGGGCAUAGCCCAAAAUUAUACAGAUUUCAAGAUUGUUGGAAUAAGAAAGACCCAUAGAUAGUAUCAAGACUUGCUUUUAACUUAGGGGCUGGACUCUGACAGUAGUAAUGCAAGGGUAGCAAUGAUCUAUUUUCAGUUUUAAAAAGGGGAAUAUUUACCAGUGAUAAAUUAUAUAGGCUAUAAAAAUGUAAUUUUUCAGCUCUUGGCAAUAAUUAUAUCAACUUAGUGUAUUAACACUGGUUGUCUCAGGGAAAAAUAAAAAAAAAAUAAUCACCUAAUAAAGGGGAUUUGGUGGUCCAAAAUUUUCUCAGCAUGAGCCCAAUGUGAGGGAGAAGUAGUAAAUGUGAUCUUUUGUGUUCAAAAGGUAAGAGACUUCUCAUCAGAGGUUUACUGCAUAUCCAAACAUCGGAAGUGGUUGAGGCAAGGUUAAAACUCAGGAAUUUUGAGUUUUACCCAAGUGAUUCUCACUGCAAAAUAGAACACUGAUUUGCUUUUUCAUUCAACAAACAUUUACUGAGUGCCUAUAAUGAGUUGGAUAGGCAGAAAUGGAAAGACACAAGGGACAUGAAGCCAAGCAGGAAGACAGAUAUGCCUCUCUGCAGAGUGAUUCAUAGGCAACAGCACAGGUGUGCUCUGCUGGAGUAGAGAGAUGGGCUGGGAAACCCUGUAAAUCCUACAUUUUCUGUUUUUAUUGACUAUUUCGUAUCUGUUGUACUUACAAAAUUUAAUAUAUGCUGUUUCGGGUCCAAAGUUCAAACUGGUUUUAACUUCUUUUUCCCAAAGUCACUUUUCAAAAGAAAACAAAUAUGGCAAAAUAUUUCUCUUUCCUCUGGGUACUCAAACCAAGGUUUUUUUUGUUUGUUUUUGUGUUUUUUAAAAUAAUAAACUGUUUAUUUAGAAGAAAUAACACUUAAGCAAGACUUCAUUCAGAUUUUGGUUUUGGUAUCCCUAUAGGUAGAAAUGAUGUGACUGAGUUAAGAAAUAUGAAUUAAGUAGUUUAUUAAUAUUAAACAAUAGGGACAUCUGGGUGGCUCAUUUGUUUAAGCC
RNAcentral lists this long non-coding RNA (1089 nucleotides) under Canis lupus familiaris (dog). RNAcentral describes it as "lncRNA (ENSCAFG00040018710.1)". Lineage: Eukaryota; Metazoa; Chordata; Mammalia; Carnivora; Canidae. The record is from RNAcentral.